Molecule: ribosomal RNA, 378 nt
Filed under: uncultured bacterium
Lineage: Bacteria
Description: bacterial SSU rRNA
Rfam family: Bacterial small subunit ribosomal RNA
Source: RNAcentral
AUACGUAGGGCGCAAGCGUUGUCCGGAUUUAUUGGGCGUAAAGGGCUCGUAGGCGGUCUGUCACGUCGGAUGUGAAAACUCAGUGCUUAACACUGGGCCUGCAUUCGAUACGGGCAGACUAGAGUUCGGUAGGGGAGACUGGAACUCCUGGUGUAGCGGUGGAAUGCGCAGAUAUCAGGAAGAACACCGAUGGCGAAGGCAGGUCUCUGGGCCGACACUGACGCUGAGGAGCGAAAGCGUGGGGAGCAAACAGGAUUAGAUACCCUGGUAGUCCACGCCGUAAACGGUGGGCACUAGGUGUGGGAAACUAUCUACGUUUUCCGCGCCGCAGCUAACGCAUUAAGUGCCCCGCCUGGGGAGUACGGCCGCAAGGCUAAA